UGCAAGCCGCCGCGGUAAUACAUAGGCUCCAAGCGUUGUUCGGAAUUACUGGGCGUAAAGCGAGUGUAGGUGGCCUGCCAAGUCGCUUGUGAAAUCUCCCGGCUCAACUGGGAGGGUGCGGUCGAAACUGGCAGGCUAGAGUUCGGGAGAGGAGAGUGGAAUUCCUGGUGUAGCGGUGAAAUGCGUAGAUAUCAGGAGGAACACCGGAGGUGAAGACGGCUCUCUGGACCGAUACUGACACUGAGACUCGAAAGCGUGGGGAGCAAACAGGAUUAGAUA
This 279-nucleotide ribosomal RNA is filed under the name uncultured bacterium. RNAcentral describes it as "partial 16S ribosomal RNA". It matches the Rfam family "Bacterial small subunit ribosomal RNA", at positions 506 to 784 of the family's 1533-position model. The record is from RNAcentral.